UAAGGAAUAUUGGUCAAUGGAGGGAACUCUGAACCAGCCAUGCCGCGUGCGGGAAGAAGGCCUUCGGGUUGUAAACCGCUUUUGUCGGGGAAGAAACGCUCUGGGCUAAUACCCUGGGGUAAUGACGGUACCUGAAGAAUAAGCACCGGCUAACUACGUGCCAGCAGCCGCGGUAAUACGUAGGGUGCAAGCGUUAAUCGGAAUUACUGGGCGUAAAGCGUGCGCAGGCGGCUUUGCAAGACAGAUGUGAAAUCCCCGGGCUCAACCUGGGAACUGCAUUUGUGACUGCAUGGCUAGAGUACGGUAGAGGGGGAUGGAAUUCCGCGUGUAGCAGUGAAAUGCGUAGAUAUGCGGAGGAACACCGAUGGCGAAGGCAAUCCCCUGGACCUGUACUGACGCUCAUGCACGAAAGCGUGGGGAGCAAACA
This 427-nucleotide ribosomal RNA is filed under the name uncultured bacterium. RNAcentral's name for it is "bacterial SSU rRNA". It matches the Rfam family "Bacterial small subunit ribosomal RNA", at positions 355 to 774 of the family's 1533-position model. The record is from RNAcentral.